This 447-nucleotide ribosomal RNA is filed under the name uncultured bacterium. RNAcentral describes it as "bacterial SSU rRNA". It matches the Rfam family "Bacterial small subunit ribosomal RNA", at positions 331 to 794 of the family's 1533-position model. The record is from RNAcentral.
CCAGACUCCUACGGGAGGCAGCAGUGGGGAAUAUUGCACAAUGGGGGGAACCCUGAUGCAGCGACGCCGCGUGAGUGAAGAAGUAUUUCGGUAUGUAAAGCUCUGUCAGCAGGGAAGAAGAAAGACGGUACCUGACCAAGAAGCCCCGGCUAACUACGUGCCAGCAGCCGCGGUAAUACGUAGGGGGCAAGCGUUAUCCGGAUUUACUGGGUGUAAAGGGAGCGUAGACGGUUAUGUAAGUCUGGAGUGAAAGCCCGGGGCCCAACCCCGGGACUGCUUUGGAAACUGUGUAACUGGAGUACAGGAGGGGCAGGCGGAAUUCCUGGUGUAGCGGUGAAAUGCGUAGAUAUCAGGAGGAACACCGGCGGCGAAGGCGGCCUGCUGGACUGAAACUGACGUUGAGGCUCGAAAGCGUGGGGAGCAAACAGGAUUAGAUACCCCUGUACA